CAAAGGUUUGGUCCUAGUCUUCCUAUUAAUUUUUACUACACUUACACAUGCAAGUAUCUGCACUCCCGUGAAAAUGCCCUUUACUACCAAAAAGGUAGAACAGGAGCGGAUAUCAGGCACUUACAUUGCCAAAGACAUCUUGUUUAACCACACCCCCAAGGGAACUCAGCAGUGAUAAACAUUGAAUAUGAGCGACAUCAAGCUCGAAUCAGCGAUAGUAGAUAGAGUCGGUAAAUCUCGUGCCAGCCACCGCGGUUAUACGAGAGACUCAAAUUAAUCCAAUCGGCCCAAAGAGUGGUUAGACGUGUAAAUAAAAUAUGGUUAAAAACUAACUCUGCUGUCACACGCAAAAGUUUAAAACAAACACAACAUCGAAAGUAACCCUACAAUAGCAACAUUGAACCCACGACAGCUAGGGCACAAACUGGGAUUAGAUACCCCACUAUGCCUAGCCAUAAACUUUGAUUUAUCCGCCCGAGUACUACGAGCAACAGCUAAA
This 499-nucleotide ribosomal RNA is filed under the name Neurergus barani. RNAcentral's name for it is "partial 12S ribosomal RNA". It matches the Rfam family "Bacterial small subunit ribosomal RNA", at positions 8 to 897 of the family's 1533-position model. Lineage: Eukaryota; Metazoa; Chordata; Amphibia; Caudata; Salamandridae. The record is from RNAcentral.